RNAcentral lists this ribosomal RNA (373 nucleotides) under uncultured organism. RNAcentral's name for it is "bacterial SSU rRNA". It matches the Rfam family "Bacterial small subunit ribosomal RNA", at positions 526 to 896 of the family's 1533-position model. The record is from RNAcentral.
CAGAGGUCCCAAGCGUUGUUCGGAUUCGACUGGGCGUAAAGGGUGCGUAGGCGGUCGGGUAAGUCUGAUGUGAAAUCUCUGGGCUCAACCCAGAAAUGGCAUUGGAUACUAUUCGGCUUGAGGUCUGGAGGGGGGACUGGAAUUCUCGGUGUAGCAGUGAAAUGCGUAGAUAUCGAGAGGAACACCAGUGGCGAAGGCGAGUCCCUGGACAGGUCCUGACGCUGAGGCACGAAAGCUAGGGGAGCAAACAGGAUUAGAUACCCUGGUAGUCCUAGCCGUAAACGGUGCUUAUUUGCUGUAAAAGGAAUCGACCCCUUUUGUGGCGUAGCAAACGCGUUAAAUAAGCCGCCUGGGAAGUACGGUCGCAAGAUUA